This 69-nucleotide transfer RNA is filed under the name Podarcis lilfordi (Lilford's wall lizard). RNAcentral describes it as "tRNA.Ala". It matches the Rfam family "tRNA". From Rfam's summary of the family: Transfer RNA (tRNA) molecules are approximately 80 nucleotides in length. Lineage: Eukaryota; Metazoa; Chordata; Lepidosauria; Squamata; Lacertidae. The record is from RNAcentral.
GCUGUAGCUCAGUGGUAGAACAUCUGCUUUGCUUGCAGAAGGUCCCAGGUUCAAUCCCUGUCAUCUCCA